Molecule: long non-coding RNA, 166 nt
Organism: Bradysia coprophila
Lineage: Eukaryota; Metazoa; Arthropoda; Insecta; Diptera; Sciaridae
Source: RefSeq, a predicted model, not a curated record
AGAAGUUUUUGAAAUUAUUUUUCUGAUUGAUUUUUGACGAAGUGUAUGUUUUUGCAGAACGUACACAGAGCUUUUGUUGUGGGCUAUAUUUUUUCAAUGUUAAUGUGAAUGUAAGAGAUAUAUAGCCCUGAUGAUGUCUUCAAUUGGAAGACGAAAUAUAUUGGCA